This is a long non-coding RNA of Gossypium arboreum, 485 nucleotides long. RefSeq lists it as uncharacterized. The record is from RefSeq and is a predicted model, not a curated record. The transcript has 2 exons. Lineage: Eukaryota; Viridiplantae; Streptophyta; Magnoliopsida; Malvales; Malvaceae.
GCUGCUGAGGAGAGAAAAAAAAGGGAGAGAGAGGGGAGAGGGGCGAUUCCCGGCCAGGGGGCCGGUCACCGGCCGGUCGCCGGAACGCCGUGCGCCACCGUCGCCGGCCACCGUGCACGGUGGCCAGAGUUUCGAAAAAGGUGAAGAGGCGGUGGAGCAGAGGCCACUUGCAAGAGAUGUGACUAGGGGCGGUAGGAUAGGUGAUUUAGGGUUUCAAAUUUUGAAACCUAAAAUUUUUGGGCUAGUUAGGUCAGAUUGGGAUUAGUUUUGGGUAGGUUUUGGUUGUUUGGGCUUCUGUUAGGUUUAGUGGGUUGUGGGUUUUGGGCUAGGUAGGUUUUAAGGAUUUGGGCCCAAAAUUGGGCUUGUACAAGCCUUCUUUAAAUAAGUGUUGUAGGCUUGUAAAUAUUUGCAAUCUGACUUCUAUAUGACAUCAAUUGUACUUAUAUAGAAAUUAGGGGAGUAAAACUCGAUUCUAUUUUAAAAAA